RNAcentral lists this ribosomal RNA (1689 nucleotides) under Triticum aestivum (bread wheat). RNAcentral's name for it is "partial small subunit ribosomal RNA". Lineage: Eukaryota; Viridiplantae; Streptophyta; Magnoliopsida; Poales; Poaceae. The record is from RNAcentral.
AUGAGUAAAGGUGCGAUCAUCGGCGCGUCGACCGUCCUGGUGGUGGCGGUCGUCGCCGCCGUGUGCGUCGUGUCGUUCAAGGGCAACGGCAGCGACAAGGGCGAUGGGGAGCUCACCACCUCCGUCAAGUCCGUGAAGGCCUUCUGCCAGCCCAUGGACUACAAAGAGACGUGCGAGACGGAGCUGACCAAGGUGGGCGGCAACGCCACGUCGCCGACGGAGCUCGCCAAGGCCAUCUUCGAGGUCACCUCGGAGAAGAUCAGGAAGGCCAUCAGCGAGUCGGCCACCCUGGAGGAGCUCAAGAGCGACCCACGCACGUCGGGGGCCCUCGAGAACUGCAAGGAGCUGCUGGAGUACGCCAUCGAGGACCUCAAGACCACCUUCGACCGCCUCGGCGGCUUCGAGAUGACCGACUUCAACAAAGCCGCCGCCGACCUCAAGACCUGGCUCAGCGCCGCGCUCACCUACCAGGAGACGUGCCUCGACGGCUUCGCCAACACCACCACCGACGCCGCCGCCAAGAUGCGCGGCGCGCUCAACGCCUCCCAGGAGCUCACCGAGGACAUCCUCGCCGUGGUCGACCAGUUCUCCGCCUCCCUCGGCAGCCUCAACAUCGGGAAGAGGAGGCUGCUAGGGGAGGAGGACGGCAUGCCUUACUGGAUGAACGACGGGAAGAGGCGGCUGCUGGAGGCCGAGCCCUCCGCACCGGAGUUCAAGCCCAACGUCACCGUCGCCGCUGACGGCAGCGGCGACUUCAAGACCAUCAAGGAGGCGCUCGCAAAGGUGCCGCCCAAGAGCGCCUCCAUGUACGUCAUGUACAUCAAGGCCGGCACCUACAAGGAGUACGUCUCCGUGGGCCGCCCUAUCACCAACCUCGUCGUCAUCGGCGACGGCGACGACAAGACCAUCAUCACCGGCAACAAGAACUUCAAGAUGAACAUCACCACCAAGGACACCGCAACCAUGGAGGCAAUCGGGAACGGCUUCUUCAUGAAGGGCGUGAGGGUGGAGAACACGGCGGGGGCCGAGAACCACCAGGCCGUGGCACUGCGGGUGCAGAGCGACCAGGCCGUCUUCUACCAGUGCUACUUCGACGGGUACCAAGACACGCUCUACACCCACGCGCAACGGCAGUUCUUCCGCGACUGCACCGUCACCGGCACCAUCGACUUCAUCUUCGGCAACUCCCAGGUGGUCAUCCAGAACUGCCUCAUCCUGCCGCGCAAGCCCAUGGACAACCAGCUCAACAUCAUCACCGCGCAAGGGCGGCGCGAGAAGCGCUCCGUCGGGGGCACCGUCAUGCACAACAACACCAUCGAGCCGCACCCGGACUUCAAGGACUCGACGGGCAAGAUCAAGACCUACCUGGCGCGGCCAUGGAAGGAGUACUCUAGGACCAUCUACAUCCAGAACGAGAUCGGCGCCUUCAUCGACCCCAAGGGCUGGCUCGAGUGGAACGGCGACUUCGCCCUCGAGACCCUCUUCUACGCCGAGGUGGAGAACACCGGGCCCGGCGCCGAUAUGAGCCAGCGCGCCAAGUGGGGCGGCAUCAAGACUGUCACCUACGCUGACGCACAAAAGGAGUACACCGUCGAGGCCUUCAUCCAGGGCGAGCAGUUCAUCCCCAAGUACGGCGUGCCCUACAUCCCGGGGCUCCUCCCGCAGUCGGAGGCGGGGAGGGAUCAUUAA